Molecule: ribosomal RNA, 3024 nt
Filed under: Salmonella enterica subsp. enterica serovar Worthington
Lineage: Bacteria; Pseudomonadati; Pseudomonadota; Gammaproteobacteria; Enterobacterales; Enterobacteriaceae
Description: 23S ribosomal RNA
Rfam family: Bacterial large subunit ribosomal RNA
Source: RNAcentral
GGGUUGUGAGGUUAAGCGACUAAGCGUACACGGUGGAUGCCCUGGCAGUCAGAGGCGAUGAAGGGCGUGCUAAUCUGCGAUAAGCGCCGGUAAGGUGAUAUGAACCGUUAUAACCGGCGAUACCCGAAUGGGGAAACCCAGUGUGAUUCGUCACACUAUCAUUAACUGAAUCCAUAGGUUAAUGAGGCGAACCGGGGGAACUGAAACAUCUAAGUACCCCGAGGAAAAGAAAUCAACCGAGAUUCCCCCAGUAGCGGCGAGCGAACGGGGAGGAGCCCAGAGCCUGAAUCAGCAUGUGUGUUAGUGGAAGCGUCUGGAAAGGCGCGCGAUACAGGGUGACAGCCCCGUACACAAAAGCGCAUGUGCUGUGAGCUCGAUGAGUAGGGCGGGACACGUGGUAUCCUGUCUGAAUAUGGGGGGACCAUCCUCCAAGGCUAAAUACUCCUGACUGACCGAUAGUGAACCAGUACCGUGAGGGAAAGGCGAAAAGAACCCCGGCGAGGGGAGUGAAAAAGAACCUGAAACCGUGUACGUACAAGCAGUGGGAGCCCCACCACUAAGCCAGUGGUGAACUCCACAUACGCAUCCUUUGCUGAGGAUACGGUUAACGGAGCGAAAGCGACGUUCAACCGCAAAAGAAGCAGAGGGGGCUUAGUGGUGGGGUGACUGCGUACCUUUUGUAUAAUGGGUCAGCGACUUAUAUUCUGUAGCAAGGUUAACCGUAUAGGGGAGCCGGAGGGAAACCGAGUCUUAAUUGGGCGUUAAGUUGCAGGGUAUAGACCCGAAACCCGGUGAUCUAGCCAUGGGCAGGUUGAAGGUUGGGUAACACUAACUGGAGGACCGAACCGACUAAUGUUGAAAAAUUAGCGGAUGACCUGUGGCUGGGGGUGAAAGGCCAAUCAAACCGGGAGAUAGCUGGUUCUCCCCGAAAGCUAUUUAGGUAGCGCCUCGUGAACUCAUCUCCGGGGGUAGAGCACUGUUUCGGCUAGGGGGCCAUCCCGGCUUACCAACCCGAUGCAAACUGCGAAUACCGGAGAAUGUUAUCACGGGAGACACACGGCGGGUGCUAACGUCCGUCGUGAAGAGGGAAACAACCCAGACCGCCAGCUAAGGUCCCAAAGUCAUGGUUAAGUGGGAAACGAUGUGGGAAGGCCCAGACAGCCGGGAUGUUGGCUUAGAAGCAGCCAUCAUUUAAAGAAAGCGUAAUAGCUCACUGGUCGAGUCGGCCUGCGCGGAAGAUGUAACGGGGCUAAACCAUGCACCGAAGCUGCGGCAGCGACACUGUGUGUUGUUGGGUAGGGGAGCGUUCUGUAAGCCUGUGAAGGUGUGUCGUGAGGCAUGCUGGAGGUAUCAGAAGUGCGAAUGCUGACAUAAGUAACGAUAAAGCGGGUGAAAAGCCCGCUCGCCGGAAGACCAAGGGUUCCUGUCCAACGUUAAUCGGGGCAGGGUGAGUCGACCCCUAAGGCGAGGCCGAAAGGCGUAGUCGAUGGGAAACGGGUUAAUAUUCCCGUACUUGGUGUUACUGCGAAGGGGGGACGGAGAAGGCUAUGUUGGCCGGGCGACGGUUGUCCCGGUUUAAGCGUGUAGGCUGGUUUUCCGGCAAAUCCGGAAAAUCAAGGCUGAGGCGUGAUGACGAGGCACUACGGUGCUGAAGCAACAAAUGCCCUGCUUCCGGGAAAAGCCUCUAAGCAUCAGGUAACAUCAAAUCGUACCCCAAACCGACACAGGUGGUCAGGUAGAGAAUACCAAGGCGCUUGAGAGAACUCGGGUGAAGGAACUAGGCAAAAUGGUGCCGUAACUUCGGGAGAAGGCACGCUGACACGUAGGUGAAGUGAUUUACUCACGGAGCUGAAGUCAGUCGAAGAUACCAGCUGGCUGCAACUGUUUAUUAAAAACACAGCACUGUGCAAACACGAAAGUGGACGUAUACGGUGUGACGCCUGCCCGGUGCCGGAAGGUUAAUUGAUGGGGUCAGCGCAAGCGAAGCUCCUGAUCGAAGCCCCGGUAAACGGCGGCCGUAACUAUAACGGUCCUAAGGUAGCGAAAUUCCUUGUCGGGUAAGUUCCGACCUGCACGAAUGGCGUAAUGAUGGCCAGGCUGUCUCCACCCGAGACUCAGUGAAAUUGAACUCGCUGUGAAGAUGCAGUGUACCCGCGGCAAGACGGAAAGACCCCGUGAACCUUUACUAUAGCUUGACACUGAACAUUGAGCCUUGAUGUGUAGGAUAGGUGGGAGGCUUUGAAGUGUGGACGCCAGUCUGCAUGGAGCCGACCUUGAAAUACCACCCUUUAAUGUUUGAUGUUCUAACGUGGACCCGUUACCCGGGUUGCGGACAGUGUCUGGUGGGUAGUUUGACUGGGGCGGUCUCCUCCUAAAGAGUAACGGAGGAGCACGAAGGUUGGCUAAUCCUGGUCGGACAUCAGGAGGUUAGUGCAAUGGCAUAAGCCAGCUUGACUGCGAGCGUGACGGCGCGAGCAGGUGCGAAAGCAGGUCAUAGUGAUCCGGUGGUUCUGAAUGGAAGGGCCAUCGCUCAACGGAUAAAAGGUACUCCGGGGAUAACAGGCUGAUACCGCCCAAGAGUUCAUAUCGACGGCGGUGUUUGGCACCUCGAUGUCGGCUCAUCACAUCCUGGGGCUGAAGUAGGUCCCAAGGGUAUGGCUGUUCGCCAUUUAAAGUGGUACGCGAGCUGGGUUUAGAACGUCGUGAGACAGUUCGGUCCCUAUCUGCCGUGGGCGCUGGAGAACUGAGGGGGGCUGCUCCUAGUACGAGAGGACCGGAGUGGACGCAUCACUGGUGUUCGGGUUGUCAUGCCAAUGGCACUGCCCGGUAGCUAAAUGCGGAAGAGAUAAGUGCUGAAAGCAUCUAAGCACGAAACUUGCCCCGAGAUGAGUUCUCCCUGAGACUUAGAGUCUCCUGAAGGAACGUUGAAGACGACGACGUUGAUAGGCCGGGUGUGUAAGCGCAGCGAUGCGUUGAGCUAACCGGUACUAAUGAACCGUGAGGCUUAACCUUACAACGCCGAAG